This 1744-nucleotide long non-coding RNA is filed under the name Androctonus crassicauda. The record is from RNAcentral. Lineage: Eukaryota; Metazoa; Arthropoda; Arachnida; Scorpiones; Buthidae.
UUAUAUGAUAAAUAGAUAAGGAUUGAAUAAUUGUGUUAAAAAGUUAACUCCUUUUCGCAGGAUUAUAGAAAAGGAAAUAGAAAAGGAUUGAAGAGUUAUCACAACUCUUCAGUCCGUUUUUUUUAUAUUCUAAACCUGCGGAGAGAAACUAACUUAUUGCAACUGUAAACUCUCCCAUUUACGCUCUGGUCAUCCUCAUUGCUCUCGAUGUAGCUCUUGCAUAAAUUCGGUAUUCUAGCGCUUCAUUUCAGUCUCUUACCUUUUGCCACUCAUGUUUUCAGCCUAGUUAAUUCCUUUCCAUAGAAUUAGAAUAUAUAUAAAUAGUAAAUUGUGUAAUAGUCAGUUCUUUUCCCUGAAGGGUAGAAUAUGUAUACGAUAGAAAAUAUUUAAGAAUGGUGAUUAGUUCUUUUCCACAGGACUAGAUUAGAAAAUAUUGAAGAAUUUCGAUAAAUUAGUAGGCUUAUACGACAAAUACACAUUUAAUUGAGGAAUAAUUUCCACAGAAAUAUAUUUUAACAUACUCAUAUUGCUUAUUUAGUAUAUUUGAUGCGUCUAACGUGCUCAAUCUUAUGUUAAACAACUAGAACAUUUUUUUUUUAUAUACGAUUCACUUUAUUUUGUUAGUAAUGUGAUACGAAUGCGAACAAGUCUUUGCCGAGUGGUACAGAAUAUAGGCUAAUACGUAACGAUUAUUAUUGCAAUGAGUUAGCGUGCAAUGACGCUAAUCUGGUGUGAAAAGGGAGUGUAUUGUGGCGUGGUUCGGAUCACGCUACGCAUACACAUUAAUUGGCAAUGACCAAGAAUAUUCGUAGCGUUAUUUACAAACCGCGCACUUACUUAUGGCGUUAUAACGAACGGCGCACUUAAUUCGUAAUUUCCGUAUAAAUUUCGAUAAAUAUAUCAUUCUUAUCCAUAGAAAUAACUUUUACGUCUUUAAAAAAAGUAAGUUUUUGCAUUAUUUUUCAAAGUUUGAAAUUGUCAAUCUGUAAAUCGACCUGUUUUUGCAUUCGUCCAUAAACAAAUGAUGCUUUUAGGGAUUUCUGCAAAUAGAAAGAAAUCAGUCAAUUGACUAUAUAGGUUGGCCAAAGCUUUACAUCAGAGGAUGGAUUGGAUUCCGCUCUGGAGGGUAGAAGUGGAAAUGAAAAGUGGUGAAUGCUCGUUUGAAGACGAACGGAAGACGUCCGCAAGACAACAUAAUGUGUUUUCGAGUAGGCCACAGUCAAACAAGAUAGAUUGGCCAUACACAAAUAAGCCAUUUCUGGCUGGCCUGGGGAAGAGAAUUAGCGGACUGCCGGCGGGAAAAAUUGGAUUUUGUAGUUGUAAGAGGAGGAAACGUUAGGAGAGAGUACGCGAAGAUGAUUAUAAUGACCAUUGUUUGAAUGGAAGAGUGGAAAUGGCUCGUCCGAAUAUGACUUCUAAUCCAUCUGGACUAUAGGAGAUUACUUCUGUUUCUUAUAAGCGGAUAGAUAAGAUAAUCCCUCAGUCGAAAAAGGGUUGAAGUUCUAAUAAGAUGAGGAGAUUAAUACAAACUUUUGAUUUGUUUUUCCUUAAUCCCGCAUUUUUAUCGCUCUCUGUUUUAAUUCUCAAAACCCACUGGAAUUUAAAUAACAAUUUUUAAUUAUUACAAAAUUUUUUAAUUAAGUUAUUCUGCAUAAUUUAUUGCCAGGAAUAUUUAAAAUUAAAUUCCUAUAAUCAAAGUACAGGGAAAUAUUCCUAAUUUUUCUUUUUGUUUUAUAAUCCGGAC